CAAGGAAUUUUCCCCAAUGGGCGCAAGCCUGAGGGAGCAACGCCGCGUGGGGGAUGACGCAUUUCGGUGUGUAAACCCCUUUUCGGGAGGACGAAGCCAAUGACGGUACUCCCGGAAGAAGGACCGGCUAACUACGUGCCAGCAGCCGCGGUAAGACGUAGGGUCCGAGCGUUGUCCGGAGUUACUGGGCGUAAAGCGCGCGCAGGCGGUCACGUACGUCGGGUGUGAAAGCCCCCCGCUCAACGGGGGAGGGUCAUUCGAAACGGCGUGACUGGAGGCAGGGAGAGGUCGGUGGAAUUCCCGGUGUAGUGGUGAAAUGCGUAGAGAUCGGGAGGAACACCAGUGGCGAAGGCGGCCGACUGGACCUGUACUGACGCUGAGGCGCGAAGGCGUGGGGAGCGAACGGG
Molecule: ribosomal RNA, 407 nt
Filed under: uncultured bacterium
Lineage: Bacteria
Description: bacterial SSU rRNA
Rfam family: Bacterial small subunit ribosomal RNA
Source: RNAcentral